RNAcentral lists this non-coding RNA (957 nucleotides) under Timon lepidus (ocellated lizard). RNAcentral's name for it is "partial small subunit ribosomal RNA". It matches the Rfam family "Bacterial small subunit ribosomal RNA". The record is from RNAcentral. Lineage: Eukaryota; Metazoa; Chordata; Lepidosauria; Squamata; Lacertidae.
ACAGUUUUGGUCCUAGACUUACCGUUGUUUUUUAUCAAAAUUAUACAUGCAAGCCUCAACACACCAGUGAAAAUGCCCAAAACACCUAAAAAGAAAUAUUGGAGCAGGUAUCAGGCACUACUAAACCCAGCCCAUAACACCUUGCCAUGCCACACCCCCACGGGCUAUCAGCAGUAAUAAACAUUGGGCCAUAAGUGAAAACUUGACCCAGUUAUGAUAACUUAGGGCUGGUUAAUUUCGUGCCAGCCACCGCGGUUAUACGAAAAGCCCGAAACAACGACAAACGGCGUAAAAUGUGACUAGAGAUACUAAUUCCAAAAAUAUUAAAACUUACAGUUUAGUUGUAAAAUACUCAAACAAUAAAGAAAACCAACACAAAUAUUUUUGCUAUUAUUUACUUGACCACACGAAAGCUUAGAAACAAACUAGGAUUAGAUACCCUACUAUGCUAAGCCCUAAACAUUGAUUAGUUAUAUACAACACUCUCCGCCAGAGAACUACAAGUGAAAAACUUGAAACUCAAAGGACUUGACGGUAUCCCAUAUCGACCUAGAGGAGCCUGUCCUAUAAUCGAUACCCCUCGCUUCACCCCACCCUAACUAGCACACAUUAUCAGCCUAUAUACCGCCGUCGAUCAGCCUACCCUAUGAAGGUCUAAUAGUAGACACAAUAGCCCAACCGCUAAUACGUCAGGUCAAGGUGUAGCAAAUGUUAGGGAAGAGAUUGGCUACAUUUUUUAUGAUAAAAAACACGAAAAGUAUUAUGAAACAAUACAUGAAGGUGAAUUUAGUAGUAAAAUAGAUAAGAGAGUCUAUUUUAACAACGCUCUGGGAUGCGUACACACCGCCCGUCACCCUCCUCAAAUUUAUACUCAAUCUAUUUAUAAAACAUAAACUGAAUCCUAGAGGAGGUAAGUCGUAACAUGGUAAGCGUACCGGAAGGUGUGCUUGGAAUUAC